AACGCUGGCGGUCUGCUUACAUNCGCAACGUCGAACGGAGGUAGAAAUACCUUAGUGGCGGACGGGUGAGUAACGCGUGAGAAUCUGCCAAAAGGACGGGGACAACAGGGGGAAACCGCUGCUAAAACCCGAUGUGCCGGAAGGUAAAAAAUCCCUUGCCUUUUGAUGAGCUCGCGUCAGAUUAGCUAGUUGGUGAGGUAAAGGCUCACCAAGGGCGACGAUCUGUAGCUGGUCUGAGAGGACGACCAGCCACACUGGGACUGAGACACGGCCCACACUCCUACGGGAGGCAGCAGUGGGGAAUUUUCCCCAAUUGGGCGAGAGCCUGACGGAGCCAACCCGUGGUGGGAC
RNAcentral lists this ribosomal RNA (351 nucleotides) under uncultured bacterium. RNAcentral describes it as "bacterial SSU rRNA". It matches the Rfam family "Bacterial small subunit ribosomal RNA", at positions 32 to 409 of the family's 1533-position model. The record is from RNAcentral.